GAAUGCUUGGCUUUGUUUUGUAUAUAUAAAAAAGUUUGUGUGUCUGGCCUUUUUCCCAAGUUAUUUUUGCUCCAUCUGUUUGAGCCUAGAUUAUAAUGUCCCCCACAUGAAUACACACCAAAAACCUUUACAGAGGUAUGCAUCUACAAGUUUCACUAUUACAAGAGGAGUUUGUCUGUUGAAAUUGAGUCCAGGAAUACUAUACAAGCAACAAGCAGUAUUUCAGCUAUCCACAGAUGACUGAAACAGAGGUUAUGAAUUGAUCAAUAACAGAAAGAAAAAAAAGGGAAGAAAACCUAACCAGACAAGGCCAACCACUUGGUAGUAGAUGCGUCUUUGAGAAA
Molecule: long non-coding RNA, 344 nt
Filed under: Anas platyrhynchos platyrhynchos (common mallard)
Lineage: Eukaryota; Metazoa; Chordata; Aves; Anseriformes; Anatidae
Description: lncRNA (ENSAPLG00000016674.1)
Source: RNAcentral